Molecule: ribosomal RNA, 253 nt
Filed under: uncultured bacterium
Lineage: Bacteria
Description: partial 16S ribosomal RNA
Rfam family: Bacterial small subunit ribosomal RNA
Source: RNAcentral
CACGUAGGGCGCAAGCGUUGUCCGGAAUUAUUGGGCGUAAAGAGCUCGUAGGUGGUUUGUUACGUCUGCUGUGAAAACCUAGGGCUUAACCCUGGGCUUGCAGUGGAUACGGGCAGACUAGAGGUAGGUAGGGGAGAAUGGAAUUCCUGGUGUAGCGGUGAAAUGCGCAGAUAUCGGGAAGAACACCCGUGGCGAAGGCGGCUCUCUGGGACGGUACUGACGCUGAGACGCGAAAGCGUGGGGAGCGAACAGG